AUAUCAGAUGGCAAUAUGCUCUGCUCCUUUUCAUACAAUCUCCAGCUCCAAAUUGCUCAGAUGCAGCCCAUCUGGCCUCAGAGACUUGUUUGGGCUCCUAAAGAGAUCUCAGCCUACACAGAUCCUCUUCCACUGCUGGUAGCUCCUCUGCUCCUGAACUUUUUCUCAAGUGGAGCUCAGUCCUAAGUUUCCUGCUCAGUCAGCCUAGCCUCCUGAUGUGUUUACUUGACUCGGUGAGUACUGAGAUCCAACAAAGAUGCAGGGAAACAAAAGCAGGAUUUGAAGGACGUUUGGUAAGGAGCUUUCUAUGUCUAAAAUUGCAAAAUAUUUUUUUGGUAGAAGAAUAUACUCCUCAGCCUCUUUCUUGAAGUGUAAAAAUAAUUAUUUUUAGAGAUCAAUUAAAGACCAAGAUCCCACAAGAUAAGCUUCAGCAAACAAGGGUUCUUUUCUAUUCUAUCAAAUAUUGCUGAAUCUCCUUAAUUUUGCAAUAUGUUUCCAAAAGCCAACAGCUGAGAUGUUAGCAAACGAUGAGAUGGCAAUGAUAACUUUAACAAACAGAGGCAGACAACAGGCUGAAGAAUGACAAUCCCUACACAUACUUUUAAUAUCAAUGAAACCUGAAAACAAUAAGGAUCUUCAUUCUGUUUUUCAGUUAGAAGGUUUAUGUGGACACUUUUUGAAGCCCAUCAUUCAGUUAUCCAUUAAGCUGUACUAUGUAGAGUUGUCAGACAAAGCAUGCAAUGACUAAACUAUUAAAAAAAAACAGAUGUUAAUGUCUCUUGACAAGGAAAUAUUUUCUUAUUACAAAACUAUGAGAUGCCUUUAGGGCUGUUAGGAUGAUAUAAACAACAUCCGUCAAACUUGAUUCCUUUUUCAUCUUAGGAGGAGCUACACGGGUUGCUCUCCCUUCUGUUGAGCAUCUCUAGAAUUGCUGUAUGUUAUUUCUUGAUUUACAAUAGGGCAAGAAUAUAUAAUUGCAAUAGGAAAAAACACGUCAUGGAGGGAUUCAGG
RNAcentral lists this long non-coding RNA (1011 nucleotides) under Gallus gallus (chicken). Its description in RNAcentral is "lncRNA (ENSGALG00000050227.2)". The record is from RNAcentral. Lineage: Eukaryota; Metazoa; Chordata; Aves; Galliformes; Phasianidae.